This is a non-coding RNA of Hordeum vulgare subsp. vulgare (domesticated barley), 124 nucleotides long. The record is from Rfam. NCBI's taxonomy places the organism in Eukaryota, Viridiplantae, Streptophyta, Magnoliopsida, Poales, Poaceae.
UAACUACUACCUCCGUCCGAAAACACUUGUCCUAAAGAUAAAUGUAUUUAGACUUAUUUUAAUUGUAGAUACAUCCAUUAUAUGCAUUUUUAGGACAAGUAUUUCUGGACGAAGGAAGUAUAAG